Peromyscus leucopus (white-footed mouse) is the source of this 1144-nucleotide long non-coding RNA. RefSeq lists it as uncharacterized. The record is from RefSeq and is a predicted model, not a curated record. The transcript has 3 exons. Lineage: Eukaryota; Metazoa; Chordata; Mammalia; Rodentia; Cricetidae.
GCAUCUUGGGAAGCUCUCUUUACCCUUCAUAGAAAACUGAAGUGGCGAAUCCUGUGAUUAACUUCCAGACAGACUCUGAGAUGGAUGGAAGCCCCCGCUCCGCCACUGAGCCACAGCUGUUUGUCUCUGGGCUGUGCAUCCAUCUCCCAUGUGCCCCAGAGACUGCGACAGGGCAGUGAAGACGGACUGAGGCGCCGCACAGCCUUGACCACCACAAUGGCCACUGCGUGCUCCUCCCUCGGAUGUUCUUAGAGACUCUGAUAAGACAAAAUUUCAACCCGUCAAGAAGAAAAUGUCUAUUCCCAGAGGAAGACAGGAGAGGAGAUUCAACUAUUAUGUAAAGCAGACUGUAUGCAGAAGUACAAGAUGUAUUCUAUUCUCUGAGCUUCACUUCUGGAUUCUUAGUAAGUAUGACUGAGUUCCACACUUAGCUGCCAAAGAGCCUAACAGACAUUUUAGUGGAAUAGCGAAACUUCUCGUGACUUGGUCUAUCUCAGAUGCUCUUACCACAGUGUUACAAAGGUCCCUGUUUUCUUGUGUUAUGGUCCAGGUUCUAACUCCACCCCAGUUGGCAUUAAUUUGUGAACACUUUGACAAAUAGGCACAGUGUGCUAUUUCGGAGAGCUAAAUACAGAAUCCUCAGCGAUGCUGUAAACAGUUUUGAUGCUGAUGACAUUUAAACUCAGAUUUGAUCCAUUAAAAGCCCAUAUUAUUGUCAGAAACUCCUAAGUGCUAGCCUCUCUUAAUAGCACACCUUGAUCUAAUUCUCCUUGCUUUUAUUCCCACAUUAGGGAAAAUUGACACAGUCUCUGAGAGAUCCAGGUGUGGGUCAGGAUCCAAAUUGCAAUCACCAUGAAUAACAAAUUUCUCAGCCCUGCAGGAGGUCAUCUUCUUCCCUCUUUGUGGGCUGAUUUAGAAAUUGUCCUUAUUGCAUAAUAAGCUGAAAUGCCAUCAACAUCUCAGAGUGGUAGAGACUCAAGUGAUUAACUUCUUACAUAAAAUACAUCCACGUGUUGUUUGUUUAACAAAUCUCUCUCUCCUCUCCCCCUUCUGAGAGCUUAACUCACAAGACAUCUUAGAAAAUGGAGAUCAAAUCCACAGACAAAGCCUGGGAUAGCUCAGCCCCCAAACGCUCACCUUGAUG